GGCCCAGAUCGUUUACCGUGAAAAAAUUAGAGUGUUCAAAGCAGGCAGAUCCAAUUUUCUGCCACCGAAUACAUUAGCAUGGGAUAAUGGAAUAGGACCCUGUCCUCCUAUUUUCAGUUGGUUUUGGCAGCGCGAGGACUAGGGUAAUGAUUAAUAGGGAUAGUUGGGGGCAUUAAUAUUUAAUUGUCAGAGGUGAAAUUCUUGGAUUUAUGAAAGAUUAACUUCUGCGAAAGCAUCUGCCAAGGAUGUUUUCAUUAAUCAAGAACGAAAGUUAGGGGAUCGAAGACGAUCAGAUACCGUCGUAGUCUUAACCAUAAACGAUGCCGACCAGCGAUUAGGAGACGUUGAAUACAAAACACCACCAUCGGUGCGGUCGUCCUUGGCGUCUCGGUCCUUCACGGGGCCGGGGCGCGGGGGUGGCUUAGCCCGGUGGCACCGGUGAAUGACUCCCCUAGCAGCUUGUGAGA
RNAcentral lists this ribosomal RNA (467 nucleotides) under Acanthamoeba sp. RNAcentral's name for it is "SSU rRNA". It matches the Rfam family "Eukaryotic small subunit ribosomal RNA", at positions 740 to 1095 of the family's 1831-position model. The record is from RNAcentral. Lineage: Eukaryota; Discosea; Longamoebia; Acanthamoebidae.